GUAUUUAGGUUGCGCGUGCGCAAUAAGCAUUCGACGUACAUAAUAAGCUGGUGUGAAAGCGUCGGACAGGAGGCGCGAGCCACCUUGACGUCCGACGGGCUUCGUGCACAGGUGUGAGGAGACAUACCUCAAGAGGCGUGCACAUGCGCCCGAGAGCGCCAGCACAACCCCCCGGGAGUACAUUCGUUAAUGAUCCUUCCGCAGGUUCACCUACGGAAA
Molecule: unclassified non-coding RNA, 219 nt
Filed under: uncultured fungus
Lineage: Eukaryota; Fungi
Description: sequence contains ITS1
Source: RNAcentral